GGCGCACGGGUGCGUUAACGCGUGAUGCAAUCUGACCUUUUAGGAGAGGGAUAGCCCAGAGAAAUUUGGAUUAAUACCGUCAUAGUAUAAUGACUCGGCAUCGGAAGAUGUUAUUGAAACGUUGACAACGGUAAAGAGAAUGAGCAAUGCGUCCCAUUAGGCUAGUUGGUGUGGUAGCGGAUACCAAGGCAACGAUGGGUAGGGGUCCUGAGAGGGAGAUCCCCCACAGUGGUUACUGAGACACGGACCAGACUCCUACGGGAGGCAGCAGUGAGGAAUAUCGGUCAAUGGGCGCAAGUCCUGAAACCAGCCAUGCCGUGUGCAGGAUGACGGUCCUAUGGGAUUGUAACCCUGCUUUUGUCAGGAAGAAACAGUCCCUCGUGAGGGAGCUUGAGGGUACUGUAGAGAAUAAGGAUCGGGUAACUCCGUGCCAGCCGCCGCGG
RNAcentral lists this ribosomal RNA (443 nucleotides) under uncultured bacterium. RNAcentral describes it as "bacterial SSU rRNA". It matches the Rfam family "Bacterial small subunit ribosomal RNA", at positions 97 to 520 of the family's 1533-position model. The record is from RNAcentral.